RNAcentral lists this transfer RNA (76 nucleotides) under Alcaligenes faecalis. RNAcentral's name for it is "tRNA-Lys". It matches the Rfam family "tRNA". Rfam says of the family: Transfer RNA (tRNA) molecules are approximately 80 nucleotides in length. The record is from RNAcentral. RNAcentral also lists the same sequence under 115 other names. Lineage: Bacteria; Pseudomonadati; Pseudomonadota; Betaproteobacteria; Burkholderiales; Alcaligenaceae.
GGGUCGUUAGCUCAGUUGGUAGAGCAGCGGACUUUUAAUCCGUUGGUCGCGCGUUCGAGUCGCGCACGACCCACCA